RNAcentral lists this non-coding RNA (21 nucleotides) under Arabidopsis thaliana (thale cress). The record is from RNAcentral. Lineage: Eukaryota; Viridiplantae; Streptophyta; Magnoliopsida; Brassicales; Brassicaceae.
UUCCAUUGAAGAUGUCCUGUG